GAUGAACGCUGGCGGCAUGCCUUACACAUGCAAGUCGAACGGCAGCACGGGGGCAACCCUGGUGGCGAGUGGCGAACGGGUGAGUACUGCAUCGGAACGUACCCAGUAGUGGGGGAUAACCAGUCGAAAGAUUGGCUAAUACCGCAUAUUCACUGAGGUGGAAAGCGGGGGAUCGCAAGACCUCGCGCUAUUGGAGCGGCCGAUGUCCGAUUAGGUAGUUGGUGGGGUAAAAGCCUACCAAGCCGACGAUCGGUAACUGGUCUGAGAGGACGACCAGUCACACUGGGACUGAGACACGGCCCAGACUCCUACGGGAGGCAGCAGUGGGGGAA
This 332-nucleotide ribosomal RNA is filed under the name uncultured bacterium. Its description in RNAcentral is "bacterial SSU rRNA". It matches the Rfam family "Bacterial small subunit ribosomal RNA", at positions 28 to 362 of the family's 1533-position model. The record is from RNAcentral.